GACGAACGCUGGCGGCGUGCCUAAUACAUGCGAGUCGAGCGAAGUUUUUCUGGUGCUUGCACUAGAAAAACUUAGCGGCGAACGGGUGAGUAACACGUAAAGAACCUGCCUCAUAGACUGGGACAACUAUUGGAAACGAUAGCUAAUACCGGAUAACAGUAUUUCUCGCAUGAGAGAUAUUUAAAAGUUGGUUAUGCUAACACUAUGAGAUGGCUUUGCGGUGCAUUAGCUAGUUGGUGGGGUAAAGGCCUACCAAGGCGACGAUGCAUAGCCGACCUGAGAGGGUGAUCGGCCACACUGGGACUGAGACACGGCCCAGACUCCUACGGGAGGCAGCAGUAGGGAAUCUUCCGCAAUGGGCGAAAGCCUGACGGAGCAACGCCGCGUGAGUGAAGAAGGAUUUCGGUUCGUAAAGCUCUGUUGUUAGGGAAGAAUGGAUAUGUAGUAACUAUACAUAUAAGAGACGGUACCUAACCAGAAAGCCACGGCUAACUACGUGCCAGCAGCCGCGGUAAUACGUAGGUGGCAAGCGUUGUCCGGAAUUAUUGGGCGUAAAGCGCGCGCAGGUGGUUUAAUAAGUCUGAUGUGAAAGCCCACGGCUCAACCGUGGAGGGUCAUUGGAAACUGUUAAACUUGGGUGCAGGAGAGAAAAGUGGAAUUCCUAGUGUAGCGGUGAAAUGCGUAGAGAUUAGGAGGAACACCAGUGGCGAAGGCGGCUUUUUGGCCUGUAACUGACACUGAGGCGCGAAAGCGUGGGGAGCAAACAGG
RNAcentral lists this ribosomal RNA (768 nucleotides) under uncultured bacterium. Its description in RNAcentral is "bacterial SSU rRNA". It matches the Rfam family "Bacterial small subunit ribosomal RNA", at positions 28 to 776 of the family's 1533-position model. The record is from RNAcentral.